RNAcentral lists this unclassified non-coding RNA (345 nucleotides) under soil metagenome. RNAcentral's name for it is "partial contains 5.8S ribosomal RNA, internal transcribed spacer 2, and large subunit ribosomal RNA". The stretch from base 1 to 120 matches the Rfam family "5.8S ribosomal RNA", at positions 35 to 154 of the family's 154-position model. The record is from RNAcentral.
GAUGAAGAACGCAGUGAAAUGCGAUACGUAAUGUGAAUUGCAGAAUUCAGUGAAUCAUCGAGUCUUUGAACGCACAUUGCGCCCCCUGGUAUUCCGGGGGGCAUGCCUGUCCGAGCGUCAUUGCUGCCCUCAAGCACGGCUUGUGUGUUGGGCCUCCGUCCUCCUCCCGGGGGACGGGCCCGAAAGGCAGCGGCGGCACCGCGUCCGGUCCUCGAGCGUAUGGGGCUUCGUCACCCGCUCUUGUAGGCCCGGCCGGCGCUUGCCGACACAUCAAUCUUUUUUCCAGUUUGACCUCGGAUCAGGUAGGGAUACCCGCUGAACUUAAGCAUAUCAAUAAGCGGAGGA